CUGGGGGCCGGAGAGAUAGCAUGGAGGUAAGGCGUUUGCCUUUCAUGCAGGAGGUCAUCGGUUCGAAUCCCGGCACCCAUAUGGUCCCCCGCGCCUGCCAGGAGUGAUUUCUGAGCAUAGAGCCAGGAGUAAUCC
This is a long non-coding RNA of Suncus etruscus (white-toothed pygmy shrew), 135 nucleotides long. RefSeq lists it as uncharacterized. The record is from RefSeq and is a predicted model, not a curated record. NCBI's taxonomy places the organism in Eukaryota, Metazoa, Chordata, Mammalia, Eulipotyphla, Soricidae. The transcript has 2 exons.